This 1106-nucleotide long non-coding RNA is filed under the name Felis catus (domestic cat). RNAcentral describes it as "lncRNA (ENSFCAG00000051524.1)". The record is from RNAcentral. Lineage: Eukaryota; Metazoa; Chordata; Mammalia; Carnivora; Felidae.
ACCCUAUCCCCAUUGGCCACAAAUUUUCUUUUAUCAUUAAGAACAAAUCUGCACCAACUGGCUGCAUUAUAUACUGUGCUGGGGGCAAUGGCAGAGUCAAAGAAAUACAAUUUGGGGUGGGUGCCCUCAAGCCUAUUAGUAUAUUGGGGAAAGACCUUCAUACUUAACCUUAAAUGCUAGUAUCUUGAAACAGUUACAAAACCUUUCAAAGAAACCUAGGAAACCUCAAAAUAUCCAAUCAUGGAACAACCUUGUAACUUUGAUGGUAAUUCUCUUUAACAGUAUUCCCUCUUGGCUCUGUAUGAAAUGGAGGAGACAACUGGGGGGGGGGGGGGGUCAUCCAGACUAACCCCUACAUCUAACAGGAGAAGGUGCAGUGAUCCUGAAGAGAGCAAAGGACUUCAGCCAAAUCACUCCAGUCGGUGGCAGAACCUGGAUGAAUUCAGGCAGGCCUUGACUGGUUUGGGUUGUUACAGGACUGUAGGAAUCAAAGUAGGAAGAAAGCGGGACAGGCCAAAGGAAGAAGAGGUGGACAAACUGAGACUCAAGUUGUUCUGGGAUCAUACAGAGACUAGCAGAGUUGAGAUUUUAUGUCUCAUUUUAGAGGAAUCAAGAAAGAUCAGGUUCCCCCACCUCCUAUCCUGAUGACCUAUGGAGAAUAUGAGAGCUUCAAGCUCUACGGGAUGAGUGGCCCAGGCCAUGAGGAAGACAAGAUGUUCUCAUCACUGGAGUUUUCCUUUGAUUGCUAGUUUCCAUUACACAAAGUGACCACUCCUUCUAGAAGAUAUUUGGGUUGUUAGCUCAUUGAGGGCAAGGCCAGAAUGCACUGACAAUGGUUUGUUGAAUUUGUUGUUUGUUGGUGAGUUUAUAACUAAACGAACACAUAUUCGACCCCAGACCACCCCAGAGGGAAGCUGCAAUUGUGUCUGGCAAUGGGUGAAGUGAUUACUUUCUUGUGACUUUUCCCAAGUGAGGGCUCUUGCAUUCAUUCAGUGAACACAGCAAGCACCCAUCCUGCUGUGCACAGAACUAGAAAACAAGUUGGGGGCUUCCAAGGGCAAGAAUGUCUUGCUUCUCCUGAAAACUCCAUUCCGAGUCCUACACAU